AUUACUUGUGGUCUGAUUACUCCCAUGUAAGCUGAAUUGAAAAGUACAGUAUUCCAGAAUUGGAUAAAGAUGUUCUGAUCCUCCUACAAAAGGUGAGGGGAGUAAGAAAUUUAGAGGAAUAACACUUUAAGUAGGAUAGGAGAGACAUUAAGGGAAGUGGGAGGAAAAAAUCUUAAUAUCAAGUACGUGUUUUAAUGAAUGUAGAGAAAGGAUUUGGCGACACAAUGCCAGAUCUACUUUGAAUAUAAUACGGGUGUUAAAAUUUUGUUGCCUGUUAGCAGAUGAAAUAUUUAACCCUGUGUGGCAAAAAAAAAAGGAAAGAAAAGUCCAGCUCAUUCUCUUUUCUACCAUUUAAAGUAUCACUAAACUCUAUCACACUAUUAUUUAUUGCCAUCAGCAUCCACUUCACCAUUUUAAGAGAGUAGAGCACUAAUGUGCUCUUUACUCAAAGCUAGCUACCUUUUCCUUCAUUAUUAUAUGGGGAGAAAAGUUGGGGACAUGGAAAAUAGAUUGGUGUGCACUUGCUUUUGUGUUUCAAAGGGUAACCGAGUAGCCUGCAUGUUUCCUUCCCUCACACAAGUGCCUUCUUUGGGGAGAAUUGUGACAACUUUACACUAAGUGUUGCCAUUUUGUAAACUUUGUGGUGUGAACUGUACUGUGUAUUGAAGGUGCUGGUUGCUCAAGUUCUCCUAUUGUUAAGCCCCGUCCACACGAUCGGGCACUCGCUUAAUGCCCGUUGUUCGGGCAAAAUUGACAGGCAAACCAACAGAGUGCCCGUGGUCGAGCGAAAUCACCAGAUAAGGCCGUCUGCCUGGUGGUUUGACCGUUUGCUGCCGGGUAUGGAUGGACGACCCUGCCAGACAAAGGAAGUUAACCUUGGAACCCCCGGCUGCCAGUUUUUCAGUCUUGCCACAAGUCACCACUGGAAAAUGUCUGUUCCUCUGUCUGCCACAGACCAAGGAAACAUUCAUUGGUCUAGAGAAGAGACCAUGGUGUUGAUUGAACUCUAUCGUCAGCACCCUUGUCUAUGGAAUGUCAAAGUGGACAUGUACAGGGACAAACGUGCAGCGGCACCGAAACAGAUUACAGAGGACAUGAAUAGAAGCGGGACUACAGUUACCACAAGUGAUGUGAAGAGAAAAAUUGAAUCACUUCGAAAUCAGCAUAGACGGGAACUAAGAAAGAUGCAAAAAUUAAAAAAGUCUGGAGCUGGAACUGAGGACAUUUAUAUUCCCACAUUAUGGUGCUUUGAUGCACUGCAUUUCCUCAUUGAUGGUGAUACAAUUUGACAAUCUGUGUCAAACAUGGAUACUCACACUACAGAAGAUAUGUCUGAGCUGCUGAUUCAUCUCCUGAGCAUUUUCCUCAUUUUGUCUCUGAAGCCACGCCCUUGACUGCAUCACAUUGUUGAGUUGAACACAUUUAAGGAGACAAUAGCCUUUACUGCAUCAAUGUUUCUAGACUGAACCCGAGAGAAUAAGACAUCUAUGUGAGGCAUUACUUUGGAGAAAAAUUCUAGCCAAAAUUCAAAUUCUGGAUCAUUCAAAGUUCUCUUGAUACCUGCUGCUGUAUAUCCAGUAUCUCUUGAAUUUCAUGCCUCCAAUGUAUUGCAAUAUUCAAAUAUUGCAGCUUUCAUUUCUUGUACUGCAUCGCCUGUUCUGCUUUUAAAAUUCCAGCGUGUUGUAGAUGGUUUUGGAAUUCUAUGGUUAGCAACAUUUUCCAAUGCAGCCAUUCUCUGUGGAGGUCUUGAAAAAAUACUGGUACAGUAUUCCCUUAAAACUUGCCGUUUUAAAGCUUGCGUCCCUCGGAAACUCACGGAUUGCCAUGGAAAAUAAAUCAGGCUGUGUGCCAGGGAUCAAGAGGAGUCAACACUACAAGACAGUAUACAGAUCUAAUAGCCUACUGUACUGGCAAAGCCAAAUCACUGGUUAUAUGCAAUCAUGUUUCUCACUAUUACUUUCUAGACCUACGGUAUUAUCCAACAUUUGUUGGUAUUAAUAAAAUUUACCUAAUUUAAUACAAAAGGAUAUAAUUAUACGUAUAGGUACCUACAGUAUACACAUUACAAAUACUUAUCAGUACUGGGCAUGUUCACAAGGAACUGUCCAGUACAGGGAUUGUGUACAUCCUGUGCACCAGAUCAGCUGACGUUUCAGAGGUAUUGUCUUUGCAUUGUCACUACCACAUUAGGUCCACUGUGUGCACCUAAUGUCCAUAGUGUUUCAUGUUAAUGUUUAUUAAUGUUAUUUCAUAUUUAUUAUAUUGUCUUAUGCAUACAUAAUGUUGUUAUACAUGUGCAUAAAGCUAUUUGUACACUAUGUAUUUUGCACACUCCUGGGACUGGCAUGAGAAACUCACAGAUUUUGCUUUCCCACGAGGUCCAUUUUACCUAACCCCAGUGAGCUUUAAGGGAAUACUGUAUUCCUGAUAGGCUGUUGAAAACAAUUUUGACUCUCUUAUUUUGGGAUGUUGCCCGAUCCAAAAUCAAGUUAAGUUGGUGUGCAUAGCAAUGAAUAAAAUGUGCAUUGUUAA
RNAcentral lists this long non-coding RNA (2532 nucleotides) under Homarus americanus (American lobster). RNAcentral describes it as "uncharacterized LOC121867581". Lineage: Eukaryota; Metazoa; Arthropoda; Malacostraca; Decapoda; Nephropidae. The record is from RNAcentral.